UAAAAUAAAAUGAAAAAUUUUAGUAUAAAAAUAAAAAAUUAUUUAAUUUAUAAUAAGAUUAAUUGGUAAUCCUCGAGAGAUCGCUAAUCGAACCUUCCUUACUUGGUACCUGCAUUGUCCAACAACCAAAAAUUCUGUAAUUGGAUUUGCGGUCUUGUUCUUUCCUUAAAUAUGGCAGAUCAUUCAAUGAUCAGUUUACCGUCACUCAACCAAUUCCAAAUUAAUUACAUGUGCACACCAAAAAUCAACACUUAGUCAAAAUAUAGCUUAUUCAGUAUUCACCCAACCUUCACGACUAUAAGUGUUCCACACUUAGAAAAAUACGCUCCUUGCUGAAUUAAACCUCUCACGAUCAUUUCUUAAUAAUUAAAAAUACUUCGGGAGCGGAUCGGUACAAUAUUUUGGGAACCAAAAUUCGUACUGUCGAUUUUUGUUAAUGGAAGAAAGCCAAGAUUCUCGACUCUCUCUAAGGAUCCUGAUUAUCUGUUUAAACACAGGAAUACGAAGAAGAAAGAGAUAACAAAAUAUCGAUAGUAAAUUGCACAUAUGCAUUUUAUUAAAUAUAAGGUUAGCAGAGUCUAGGGUCCACC
This 590-nucleotide long non-coding RNA is filed under the name Brassica rapa (field mustard). Its description in RNAcentral is "long non-coding RNA (BRAP_LNC005893)". The record is from RNAcentral. Lineage: Eukaryota; Viridiplantae; Streptophyta; Magnoliopsida; Brassicales; Brassicaceae.